Molecule: ribosomal RNA, 311 nt
Filed under: uncultured bacterium
Lineage: Bacteria
Description: bacterial SSU rRNA
Rfam family: Bacterial small subunit ribosomal RNA
Source: RNAcentral
CGGAGCAAUCUGCCGCUUAUGGAUGGACCUGCGUCGCAUUAGCUAGUUGGAGUGGUAAAGGCACACCAAGGCGACGAUGCGUAGCCGACCUGAGAGGGUGAGCGGCCACACUGGGACUGAGACACGGCCCAGACUCCUACGGGAGGCAGCAGUAGGGGAUCUUCCGCAAUGGACGAAAGUCUGACGGAGCAACGCCGCGUGAGUGAAGAAGGUUUUCGGAUCGUAAAGCUCUGUUGCCAGGGAAGAAGAGCAAGGAGAGGAACUGCUCCUUGAGUGACGGUACCUGAGAAGAAAGCCCGGCUAACUACGUG